This 708-nucleotide ribosomal RNA is filed under the name Leporella fimbriata. Its description in RNAcentral is "eukaryotic LSU rRNA". The stretch from base 269 to 424 matches the Rfam family "5.8S ribosomal RNA". Lineage: Eukaryota; Viridiplantae; Streptophyta; Magnoliopsida; Asparagales; Orchidaceae. The record is from RNAcentral.
CAUUGUCGAGACCCGAAAGAGACCGAGCAAUUUUGACAACAGGUGAACUACAUGCAAAGGCGGUGGAGUAAUUUGCCGCCGCCAGUCACCCGCGCCCGCACUGCUGCAGCGGCUUCCUUGCCCGGAGUCGCAGCAUGCAGGGUGUGGCGUGGGAGAAAAAAUCGGCGCAGCUUGCGUCAAGGGACACGUACGAUGCGAGCGUCUGCGGCGCUUCCCCGAAUCCCCGUGGGUUUGGUGUAGUGCCGUGGGUGCUCCUUACGGACUGUAGGACUCCCGGCAAUGGAUAUCUUGGCUCUUGCAUCGAUGAAGAACGCAACGAAAUGCGAUACGUGGUGCGAAUUGCAGAAUCCCGUGAACCAUCGAGUUUUUGAACGCAAGUUGCGCCUGAGGCCAACUGGCCAAGGGCACGUCCGCCUGGGCGUCAUGCAUUACGUAGCUUCGGCCGCCACCCACAACCGGUGUGAUGUGAUGGUGCCGGCUCGGAUGCGGAGAUUGUCCCGUCGUGCAUGUAAUUGCGCGGCGGGUUGAAGCGCCGGUUUCUUUCCUCUUGGGCAGAGUCGGUAAGGGGUGGAUGGAGGCGGCCAAUCAUUUGGCGCACAUUAUCGCUACCGCGCUACUGCGUUGAGGAGGAACGGGUAAACAUCCUAGGCGGACCCACUGGAAUGCAGUGUGUCGUGCCUUCAAAUGCGACCCCAGGAUGGGCGGGAU